CAGCCGCCGCGGGAAUACGAAGGGUGCAGCGUUACUCGGAAUUACUGGGCGUAAAGCGUGCGUAGGUGGUGGUUUAAGUCCGUUGUGAAAGCCCUGGGCUCAACCUGGGAAUUGCAGUGGAUACUGGGUCACUAGAGUGUGGUAGAGGAUAGUGGAAUUUCCGGUGUAGCAGUGAAAUGCGUAGAGAUCGGAAGGAACAUCUGUGGCGAAGGCGACUAUCUGGGCCAACACUGACACUGAGGCACGAAAGCGUGGGGAGCAAACAGGAUUAGAUACCCCAGUAGUCCCUGUCUCUUAUACC
Molecule: ribosomal RNA, 301 nt
Filed under: uncultured bacterium
Lineage: Bacteria
Description: partial 16S ribosomal RNA
Rfam family: Bacterial small subunit ribosomal RNA
Source: RNAcentral